UACGGGGGGGGUAAGCGUUGUUCGGAAUUACUGGGCGUAAAGGGCUCGUAGGCGGCCAACUAAGUCGGACGUGAAAUCCCUCAGCUUAACUGGGGAACUGCGUCCGAUACUGGAUGGCUUGGAUUUGGGAGAGGGAUGCGGAAUUCCAGGUGUAGCGGUGAGAUGCGUAGAUAUCUGGAGGAACACCGGUGGCGAAGGCGGCAUCCUGGACCAAUAUUGACGCUGAGGAGCGAAAGCCAGGGGAGCAAACGGG
RNAcentral lists this ribosomal RNA (253 nucleotides) under uncultured bacterium. RNAcentral's name for it is "partial 16S ribosomal RNA". It matches the Rfam family "Bacterial small subunit ribosomal RNA", at positions 524 to 776 of the family's 1533-position model. The record is from RNAcentral.